GACGAACGCUGGCGGCGUGCUUAACACAUGCAAGUCGAACGAUGAAGCCGGAGCUUGCUCUGGUGAAUUAGUGGCGAACGGGUGAGUAACACGUGAGUAACCUGCCCUUGACUCUGGGAUAACUGCGGGAAACUGUAGCUAAUACCGGAUACGACCCUCGGAGGCAUCUCCCGGGGGUGGAAAGAAUUUCGGUCAAGGAUGGACUCGCGGCCUAACAGGUAGUUGGUGAGGUAAAGGCUCACCAAGGCGACGACGGGUAGCCGGCCUGAGAGGGUGACCGGCCACACUGGGACUGAGACACGGCCCAGACUCCUACGGGAGGCAGCAGUGGGGAAUAUUGCACAAUGGGCGCAAGCCUGAUGCAGCAACGCCGCGUGAGGGAUGACGGCCUUCGGGUUGUAAACCUCUUUUAGCAGGGAAGAAGCGAAAGUGACGGUACCUGCAGAAAAAGCACCGGCUAACUACGUGCCAGCCGCCGCCGUAA
This 484-nucleotide ribosomal RNA is filed under the name uncultured bacterium. RNAcentral's name for it is "partial 16S ribosomal RNA". It matches the Rfam family "Bacterial small subunit ribosomal RNA", at positions 28 to 523 of the family's 1533-position model. The record is from RNAcentral.